Long non-coding RNA from Strigops habroptila (Kakapo), 1914 nucleotides. RefSeq lists it as uncharacterized. Lineage: Eukaryota; Metazoa; Chordata; Aves; Psittaciformes; Psittacidae. The transcript has 2 exons. The record is from RefSeq and is a predicted model, not a curated record.
AGCCGUUGGGGGGCAGAGGGGGAGCGGGAGGAGGGGCGGCCGUGCGGCUCCGAGCACCGCCGGGCGGCCCGUCACCGCCCGGCAGAGGAGAAUCCCGCCACGGGCGAGUGAGGAGAGGCAGCGGCGAAGCGAGCGGGGUAGCGCGGAGCCAAGGAGAGGCCGGCGUGCCACCCACCCCCCCCUGCGGUGAAAUCCCUCUCGCUCCCAGGGACAGGCCCUCCCGCCUGGAGGAAGCCGCGUAAAUACGUGAGCCUUUUCAUCCCAAUGGAAUUACCAGCGCCACAGGAAUAAUCCUGUCGUUGUCCAUGUUGCUUGGCUCACAGCGACGUUUUCGGAAUGCUUCUGUGGAGUCCGGCCCCACCGGGUGGCUGCUGACCUUUUCUUGUCGGUUGACCCCUAAAAAGUUGUGAAGGGAAGAGACUGCAUAGAGUUAGUUUAAACCACCUAUGUAGUGCCUGGCUUUUGGCUGGCAUUCACGGAUGCUUCACAAAACGAGGUUACUGAUAGACCUGAUGUCUGAAAACACCACCGAACAGCCAGCACAGGCUACACAGCACCAUUUUUCCUCUGGAUUUAUACAGCUUCUGGCAGAGCAGACUCCCAGGGUGAAGAGCGCCUCAAAUCACCAGCCAAUGUGGCUCACCUGAUGUGUGUUAGGCCAGAAAGUCAGCAGCACACCUGAAAAGCACUUGUGGAGGAUUUUGUUAUGCCAUGAAAGCCACAUGAGGUGGGACUUCAGUAAGUAUUUAUCUCAGAGUUGAAGAACACUAACAAAAAUCAUAAUGUGUAAGAAGGAUUAACCCCUCCAUUUAUGAAUGAAAUGAUACAACUAUUGCUUAUUUUAUUGACAUAAGGAACUGUAAUUUAGACAAAAAAAUUCAAGAGAAAUAGGGUCAAAUCAUAAGCCACCUGUUGACUGGAAUAAGAAGAAAUGGGUAUUUUUAUCAGAGAGCUAUUACAGCUUUAUCUUUAACGCUGUAUGGAUAGUCAUGUCACAGAGGGAGACUAUGCUGCUGCACGCUUCCAGUCUUUCCAGAUGGUAAACAAUUUCAUUACUAGAAAGGGAGUAGAUUCAGAUGGUAAUGCUUUGUGCCUCAUCUCUGGGUUGGGACAAAGAUUCACUCAUUUAAAAUUAGAGCUGAGACUGCAAAAGGAUUUUCUCUGUCUCUUAAAGAGAACCAAAAUCUCAUACAGAUUACACAUGCAUAUGUAUGAAGAGACAGUCAUUUCCUUUGUUUGAAUUGCCACUCAUGCUCUGUGAUGCACUUCUAAAAGUGCAUUCCCCCAUUCUCUUCCCAAUGCGAACUGGGAAUUGAGAUUGACUCACCGUUUCUGAAUAAAACAUGUUUUUCCUUAUUACAUUGGGGUGCUUUCUGGACGCUCAAGAUUCUGUAUUAGUCUUUCCCAUGGAAGCAAGUGCACUGAAGUAAGUAGAGCAAGUGAGGAGAGAACUGGGCCCCAAAGCCCUUUAAGAAGGAAGUUUAGAUGGAUUUAACAUAUAUGAAGUUUCAGAAUAAGAUUCAUUUGGAAGGAAAGGUGCCAUGUCACAGCAAGUCAAAGGUGUGCUCACAGAGCAAAACCUGUAUGAACAAGUACCCGGAAAUCAGACAAGGUAGAAAAGUUCCAAAGCUUAAGGAGACUUACCUGGUAGAUUUAUUUUAGAAUGACACAUCAAGUACUCAGGCUCAUCUUUUCCUGUGAAAUCCUUAUCAGCUUCCACAAACAUCUAGAUGUUAAAAGAAAAGCCUCUUCUAAGUUAUAUUUAAAGCAUAAACUUGUCUUUCUUAUAACAACACCAUGACAGAAAUGUUAUUUCUGCUGAAACUCACAAUAACAUCAGGCUGUUUGGUAAAAUGAUAUUCAUGGGAUACUCUAGAUAAAUGAGCUGCAUUAAAGACAUGCUUCUUACCUGAA